RNAcentral lists this ribosomal RNA (421 nucleotides) under uncultured bacterium. Its description in RNAcentral is "bacterial SSU rRNA". It matches the Rfam family "Bacterial small subunit ribosomal RNA", at positions 355 to 774 of the family's 1533-position model. The record is from RNAcentral.
UAAGGAAUAUUGGUCAAUGGACGCAAGUCUGAACCAGGCAUGCCGCGUGAAGGAUGAAGGUCCUCUGGAUUGUAAACUUCUUUUAUCUGGGACGAAAACGGGAUUUUUAUCUCAAUUGACGGUACCAGAGGAAUAAGCACCGGCUAACUCCGUGCCAGCAGCCGCGGUAAUACGGAGGGUGCGAGCGUUAUCCGGAUUUACUGGGUUUAAAGGGUGCGUAGGUGGGCUUAUAAGUCAGUGGUGAAAUCUCCGAGCUUAACUUGGAAACUGCCGUUGAUACUAUAGGUCUUGAAUUAUCUGGAGGUAAGCGGACUAUGUCAUGUAGCGGUGAAAUGCUUAGAUAUGACAUAGAACACCAAUUGCGAAGGCAGCUUACUACAUAUAAAUUGACGCUGAGGCACGAGAGCGUGGGGAUCAAACA